AAAAAUCCCCUAACAUCCAAAGUUUAUUGUGUCAGAAUAGUUCCUCAGUCAAAUGAUGAUUGUUAUGUGGGAAUAGGUCCUCAGUCAUAUGAAAAUUGUUGUGUUGGAAAAGGUCCCCUUGCAAGCAAAACUUCUCGUGUCCCUUGUCAACCAAAACUAGUCUCAGAAUUGUUCACCAACCGAUAAUUGUCUAAUCAGGUCAGCGUUCAACCGAUGAUUGUUGUGUCAGAAUAGGUUGUCAGUAAACGAAUGAUUGCCUAAUGAGGUCAGCGUUCAACCGAUGAUUGUUGUGUCAGAAUAGGUUGUCAGUAAACGAGUGAUUGUCUAAUCAGGUCUGCAGUCAACCGAUGAUUGUUGUGUCAGAAUAGGUUGUCAGUAAACGAAUGAUUGUAUAAUCAGAAUCAGUCCUCAGGAAACUAGUGUCUGUUUUGUCACGAUAAAUACCAGUAAGCCAAUGCUCUUUAUGGCAACAAAAUACAACUAUUUAUAAACAAAAGACACAAGGACAAGAAUAAUGGCAAGUAGGCCAUUUAUUUAUUAUCACAGGGCUUUUUAUUGCCAUUAGAGUAUCAAACUGAAAACCAGUUCUUAAGAAUGUGUUUAGUAUCUAUUUGUUACUGUUUUCUUUUUAACGAACGGCAUGUUUGUUACAGAGAUAGAUAUACAAAAAAUGACAUCUAUCUGGCUUCCAACAAAAAAUAUUCCCAGACCCUAUUCUUGGGAUCAACUCUAAUACUCUUCUGUUCCAUGGAAAUGGUCAUCUUAUCGCAUCUCUUUGCUUUUUUUUCAUAAAAAAAUGUCGGCUUUGUAGUCAAGUCGUAGUUUUAAAAGUAUUAGGUACAUUUUUCAGGAAUAUGAUAACACAGUUAGUUUUGAUGGUAAAUUUGUGCAGAAUGUGUGACAGGCUUCCAUUCAUCAUAGUUAUUAUUAUUUGAUAAUUAUAAUGAUACUAACAAACCAAACUGCUUGAUAAUAAGAUACAAACUCAUUGCAUGUUGCAUGGUGAUGGUUUUGAAUUUAACUGUUUAAAAU
Molecule: long non-coding RNA, 1032 nt
Organism: Haliotis rubra (blacklip abalone)
Lineage: Eukaryota; Metazoa; Mollusca; Gastropoda; Lepetellida; Haliotidae
Exons: 2
Source: RefSeq, a predicted model, not a curated record